GUAGUGAGACCUCUACAGUUCAUGACUCAUCAUCGGAAGAGCAAAAGGAAGCAAUUUAGUUUAACUAGAGAGACAGCUCAUCAACAUUGUCAAUGAGGUGUGUCUACCAUAUUUAUCUGGCAUGUUUGUUUUCUUUCAGGAAAAUAAACCAGAAACUUGGAGAUGCAUGCAGCAGAGGAAUACCAGACUUGAGUCCAUGGGAGCCUUCCCAAGAUAGUUCUAUAGAGAUCCCCGGAACCAGUGUUCCUGACCCUUGAAGUCAUAGCAUCUACAGUCACCAAAAGAAAGGAGGCAACUAACAUGGUUUGAUGAAGCAAGAACCCCUUAAGCAACUGCCAGGUGAUCCAGCAUUGAAGACACCUGGGUUGAUGCAUUCAAAGAACACUAAGGUCAGGAUUUCUGGGUUUUCUUAGGAUCCCUAUGGUAUUUCAG
Molecule: long non-coding RNA, 432 nt
Filed under: Cricetulus griseus (Chinese hamster)
Lineage: Eukaryota; Metazoa; Chordata; Mammalia; Rodentia; Cricetidae
Description: lncRNA (ENSCGRG00015042103.1)
Source: RNAcentral